UACGUAGGGUGCGAGCGUUGUCCGGAAUUAUUGGGCGUAAAGGGCUCGUAGGCGGUUUGUCGCGUCGGGAGUGAAAACAUCCAGCUUAACUGGGUGCUUGCUUUCGAUACGGGCAGACUAGAGGUAUGCAGGGGAGAACGGAAUUCCUGGUGUAGCGGUGAAAUGCGCAGAUAUCAGGAGGAACACCGGUGGCGAAGGCGGUUCUCUGGGCAUGACCUGACGCUGAGGAGCGAAAGCGUGGGGAGCGAACAGG
This 253-nucleotide ribosomal RNA is filed under the name uncultured bacterium. RNAcentral describes it as "partial 16S ribosomal RNA". It matches the Rfam family "Bacterial small subunit ribosomal RNA", at positions 524 to 776 of the family's 1533-position model. The record is from RNAcentral.